Dioscorea cayenensis subsp. rotundata (Guinea yam) is the source of this 1316-nucleotide long non-coding RNA. RefSeq lists it as uncharacterized. The record is from RefSeq and is a predicted model, not a curated record. The transcript has 9 exons. Lineage: Eukaryota; Viridiplantae; Streptophyta; Magnoliopsida; Dioscoreales; Dioscoreaceae.
CUCUCCCUCUCUCGAGAUUCCGACAAGCCACCUCCAUCUCAGCAGCCGAUCGUGACGCCGACGAUCGCCAGGCCGCCUUCCUCAUCCUCUCCUCCUCCACUUGGAUCCGAUCGGCGACCGCUAUUGCUUCUCCGCUUGGUGUCUCGGAUGUCCCACAAUCAUCACCAUUGUUGCCAUUUCGAGGAUUUCAGAUCUGCUAACGAAUGACUAUAAUUUUGAUCGCAAGUUGACAAUCUUGGCCUAGAGUGCUUCCGAAGUGGGUUCAUUGAUUUAGGUAUCAAAUACUGUUUUCAAAGGAGAAGAUGAUGGUGGUGGAGAAGCUCUCUUCCUUAUAAGGAAUCGAGGCCAGAGGCUUCAUAUUUGGAUCACCCAUUGCACUAGCUAUUGGUGCAAAGUUUGUCCCACUGAGAAAGCCAAGAAAGUUGCCAGAAACUCUGGAACUAUGCAUCUGGGAAGUUCUUGAAAGUAUAUACAGGCCAUGUCAACCAAGCUUACUGCAUCACAUCCACGUUUUCUGUUACAAAUGGUAAAUACAUUGUCAGUGGCUCAGAGGACAAUUGUAUAUACAUUUGGGAUCUGCAAGGAGAUAGCAUUAUCACAGGAAGUUGUGGUGUCAUCAAAACAGUUCUGGUAGUUGAUUGAUAUAAGCAAAAGGUUCACUUAUUCAGCCACAUAAGCACAGAAGGCAGGGAUGCCGGAGGUUGCCUUAUUAGGUUCAUGGACGAGGUCAACUCACAAGCUUUGGGUCAAGCGAUUACGACGCACUGCUUCCUUGCCGGAGCUUCUGCAGUUUCUCACUGAUUUCGUUGGUGCAAUACAUGAGGAAUGGUUACAUGAAUGCAGCGUUCCAGGGUCUAGUACAGCCAUCGAUGAAAUAAUUGUUUUUUUUCAGACUAUGCCACAAACGACAUCUGCAGUUGCACUUUGGAUGUUUAAACUUGAUACUUUGAUCUACCCUCAUUUGGAGAGACUCCAACAAGAGAGAACACCUGGAAGAAUGGCUCAGGAGAAACGCGCGGCUGGAACUGAUCUUCUCUUCUGUUUCCGAACGUCUGACAUCCAGUGGUUUGUUUUUUUUUGGAGCUUCAAAUUACAUGCAGUGAUGGAAGCCUGACCUUGUUCUUACACAGCAAAAAUUGAUGUCAAUAUUCACCACUCAAUUCAUAUAGUUCUUACAUUUUUGGUAGUCUCUCUGUUUCUUAUACUGAUGUUUGCUUUUGCAUGUUUUUCCUAUUUAUAGAAUAAAAAAAAAUUUAUCGUUUUGCUCCGUCAUAGAAGCUUGUUUCAUAGAGACAUCACCUUUGGUCUUAUAAAUU